UAGGGAAUCUUCCACAAUGGACGCAAGUCUGAUGGAGCAACGCCGCGUGAGUGAAGAAGGUUUUCGGACCGUAAAGCUCUGUUGUUGGUGAAGAAGGAUAGAGGUAGUAACUGGCCUUUAUUUGACGGUAAUCAACCAGAAAGUCACGGCUAACUACGUGCCAGCAGCCGCGGUAAAUACGUAGGUGGCAAGCGUUGUCCGGAUUUAUUGGGCGUAAAGCGAGCGCAGGCGGAAGAAUAAGUCUGAUGUGAAAGCCCUCGGCUUAACCGAGGAAUUGCAUCGGAAACUGUUUUCUGAGUGCAGAAGAGGAGAGUAGAACUCCAUGUGUAGCGGUGGAAUGCGUAGAUAUAUGGAAGAAUACCAGUGGCGAAGGCGGCUCUCUGGUCUGCAACUGACGCUGAGGCUCGAAAAGCAUGGGUAGCGAACAGGAUUAGAUACCCUGGUAGUCCAUGCCGUAAAACGAUGAGUGCUAAGUGUUGGGAGGCUUCCGCCUCUCAGUGCUGCAGCUAACGCAUUAAGCACUUCGCCUGGGGGAGUACGACCGCAAGGUUGAAAC
RNAcentral lists this ribosomal RNA (556 nucleotides) under uncultured bacterium. Its description in RNAcentral is "partial 16S ribosomal RNA". It matches the Rfam family "Bacterial small subunit ribosomal RNA", at positions 355 to 900 of the family's 1533-position model. The record is from RNAcentral.